GGGUCUUGUAGUCAAGAACCUCAUCUGCCCCUAAGCUCUUGACAAAUUCAAUGUUCCGAGCUCCACAAGUAGCUGUAACAUGCGUGUUUCCAAGCUUUGCUAGUUGGACUGCAUAUUGACCCACACCACCAGAGGCAGCAGUAAUCAGUAUGUUCUUUUGCUGGCCGCUUCCGUCCAGCUUGACCCCAGCAGCCUGCGUGAGACACUGGUGAGCUGUGAGGCCAGCAACAGGUAAGCCUGCACCUUCAGCUGCUGAUACUUCAGGUGGCCUGGUCACUGUCAAGUUCUCAGUAGCUGCAGCGUACUUGGCCAGUCCACCUCCCUUUUAUACGACAACAAAGAAAAGUGAGCCACAGAUGAUAGCAGUGACAAACAAAUGAAGAUAGGAUUUAACCAAAGGAAUAAAACGAAAACUUACAGCUUGGGAAAGAUAUGCCACAACUUUGUCGCCAGGUUUGAACUUUUGGACCCCCUGUCCAACUUCUACAACCUCUCCAGCAACAUCAGUAACUGUUUUCAACAAUAUCAUUAGCCAAUGUCAACAAACAAGAGUGUACAAACCACAAAACAACUCGUCUUGCAAUAUAGGAGCAUAAUUUGUUUCAGAAUGUUGCUAAUUUAUCUACCUCACAACUCUCCCCAACAACACGAAACUGAUCAAAUUCCGGUAAAUGUAUCAAUCAGUUCAACGCUGUAGUACUUAAUCAAACACCGGGAAAAACAGAAAUUACCGGGUGUAUAAGGGAAUUUGCGGGGCAAAAAAGGCCGCAACAUGCCUUUCUGAAUUUUCCAAUCAAUUGGGUUUAUACUGGCUGCUUCCAGUUUCAGCAAAACCUCGCCUUUCGUCGGAGGGGGGAUCGGAACCUCUACAUGCUGCAACAACCAUACAAUUUUGCAUAAACAAUUUAUUAAGGUAGCUCUCACAUGUACUACUUUCUCCAUGGAUUUUUAUUGCCCUUCAAAAUCAAGGGCACAUAUUCAAUCAACAUUGCAGCAUUUUCUCAAGAGUUAUCAUUCAUCUCUUCGGUUUUUAUUUUAUUUAUUUGGGAUUUCAGAGCCUAAUUAUACAAGUAAUACAUUUUCUUUUUACACCGAAGAGUAUUGAGCAUUAAUGAAAUCCCAGAAGCAAAAAUCACCAAUAAAAUAAGAAUAAAAGACAUGAGAAAUCUACAAAAUAAUGUUUUUACAGAAAAAUAGAGAAUAAAAAAGAAGGCGACAAUCGUAAAGAAAGAACCUUUAAACCAGAAGCUCCUCCGCCAUAGCCGUCGUACUGAACCGCAUGCAUAAGCUUCGACGCCAUUGCUGCCAUCCCCUGAGUCGGCAGAGAGAUAGAGAGGGGCGACAGAGAGUGCGUGUGUGUUUUCCUAGAUUCUUUGCGGGAGCGGCUUUAGACGUCUUGUAUACCAGACGUGGACGCACAGCAAGUUGCCAAGUGUUAUAUUAUUGUGAAUGACGGAAAUAACCUUUUAUUUUAUUAUAUUGAUGUUUCGGUUUUCGAUUUUUCUCGAUUUUUUUAUUACCAAAAUAUAAAAUUUGGUGUUUUAAGAAAAGAGAUUGUUAUUGGUACUUUAAAAAUCUAAUUUUGCACUCCAAACUUUCUAUAAUUAGAAAGAAAAAAACGCUUGUGAGGAGUGUAGAAUGAGAUUUAUGAAAUGUCCCUUAAGAAAUUCUAUGUAAUUCAAUGAAAUUAUAUGUAAUUAAAUAUUGAUCACUUAUCGAUAAAAAAGUAAAAACGAAGUCAAAUAUAUAUUGACCUUAAAUCGUUCAAAUACUAAACCAUUGUAUCCCACUUUUUCAGGGCCUAAAAAAGUGAGUAAUAUUAUUCAUACUAUAUUUUUGUACUACAUUUUCAUAUCAUCUUAAGUGGCAUUUGAGGUAAACAGUUUAUUUCUUGAAAAAUUAUGAUAAAAAAAUUGUAUGCGGAGAUUUAUCGAAAAAAAGAAAAUUGUAUGCAAAGAGUACUGACUUUUUAAUAUAGUAAGCUAACUACAAUUUACAUCAUAAUUUUACAAUUGUAUCAAUUUACAUCUUUUGAAUAUUUGAAUGUACUAAUAUCCAUUAAGUUGAUGAGUUUUUCAAUCAAUGUGGUGCAUAUAUAACUUACAAAUCAUCGCAAUUACGGAUUUCAUAAUUACCAUGUCAUCAACUUGAUGAAGAUUUAAACACUAACAAAAUGGUACAAGUCAAAAUCUUAGGGGGCAAUACGAAAAAAAUAUAGAGGGUGUAAAAUAUAUAUAGCCAUAAUAUAAUAGGAUGUAUGGGAUGCACACCCAACAAUACUUACUAUAAAAUGUACUUAACAAUAAAAUUAACAUUAAUUUAUAUCCAUACCUUAUCAUUUACAAUACAAACACCCACACAUCAAUGGGAGAUAAAAUAAAGCACACAUGAAAUUUACAUACCACUUAAGAAACACUAAGAUGUAUAUACAUGGGUAAUGCUAUCCACACACCUUUAUUUACUUUUCACAUACCCCUCUCAAUUUUCAACUGUCUAGUCGAGUGAAUUGAAGGUGAUCAAAAGACAGAAAUUAACAAAUGGCAUGUGAAUAGAACCACCCUGUCUCUUGUCUACUUAAGGCUCGACAAUAAUCUUUCCAGUCGCGUGUCCAUCCAUACUCCUAGCCCAAGCAUCUUCAGCCUUGCUCAGAGAAUACGUCGAGUCGAUUACCGUCUUGAGCUUUCCUUCCUUCACCAACUUAACAAGAUACUCCAAGUUCUCAGCCUUGACAUUCAGAAACAGUGGCACCAGCUGCUUCUUCGAGAAUGUGAGUUUCUUCAGUGCAAAAGUAGCAAAGGCACUUGGACUGGGAGUGAUGUCUAUUACCUUCCCGUUGGUACUCAAAUUAGGCUCAAAAGUUGACCAGGGGAUGCCAGUUGCGCAGUGGACCACAACAUCAUAUUUCCGACCAGAUGGGCUAGUCAGAGCUGCUCCUUCUGGGGUCUUGUAGUCAAGAACCUCAUCUGCCCCUAAGCUCUGGACAAAUUCAAUGUUACGAGCUCCACACGUGGCUGUAACAUGCGUGUUACCGAGCUUUGCUAGUUGGACUGCAUACUGACCCACGCCCCCAGAGGCAGCAGUAAUCAAUAUGUUCUUUUGCUGGCCGCUUCCGUCCAGCUUGAUCCCAGCAGAUUCCGUGAGACACUGGUGAGCUGUGAGGCCAGCAACAGGUAAGCCUGCACCUUCAGCUGCUGAGACUUCAGGUGGCCUGGACACUAUCAAGUUCUCACUAGCUUUAGUGUACUCAGCCAGUCCACCUCCAUUCUAUCCAUACAUAAGAUGACAAUGAAAUUGAGGCACACAUAUAAUAAAUGAGUUCUAAAUGUGAAACUUCUUAUAUGCACAAUUAGAUCUUCAAGAC
This 3361-nucleotide long non-coding RNA is filed under the name Malus domestica (apple). RNAcentral describes it as "long non-coding RNA (MDOM_LNC004988)". Lineage: Eukaryota; Viridiplantae; Streptophyta; Magnoliopsida; Rosales; Rosaceae. The record is from RNAcentral.